This 301-nucleotide ribosomal RNA is filed under the name uncultured bacterium. RNAcentral's name for it is "partial 16S ribosomal RNA". It matches the Rfam family "Bacterial small subunit ribosomal RNA", at positions 509 to 807 of the family's 1533-position model. The record is from RNAcentral.
CAGUCGCCGCGGUAAUACGUAGGUGGCAAGCGUUGUCCGGAAUUAUUGGGCGUAAAGGGCUCGCAGGCGGUUUCUUAAGUCUGAUGUGAAAGCCCCCGGCUCAACCGGGGAGGGUCAUUGGAAACUGGGAAACUUGAGUGCAGAAGAGGAGAGUGGAAUUCCACGUGUGGCGGUGGAAUGCGUAGAGAUGUGGAGGAACACCAGUGGCGAAGGCGACUCUCUGGUCUGUAACUGACGCUGAGGAGCGAAAGCGUGGGGAGCGAACAGGAUUAGAUACCCGUGUAGUCCCUGUCUCUUAUAC